ACUUGGAUGCCUGCCUCUCACACUGCUCUACUUUAUGAAGUCAAGACCAUUAAUAAAAUCCAGUUUACAGAAAGGCCUAGAGAAGGUUAUUUCUCUGAACACUUCGCUGUACCUACUUCCAUAACAGAUGAACUUACCAGAUGUAACAGAAGCGGUUCUUCUGUUCUCGUGGAAGAUGAAGUUGUCCUUUGUUUUGAUGAGUCCUGAAGGACUUAAAGAAUUCUCUGCAUCAACUAAGUGGUUCUGCUGGUUGUGUCUGGGAUCAUUCACACAGCUGCAUUCAAUCAGCAGAGAAGCUGGUGAUUGGGCUGAUGGCUCAUCCUCAAGAAGACUAGAUCAGCUUCCUCACAUAACGGCAGCCAGGUUCCAAGGCAAACCCCAGUGUGCAAGUACUUAGCAAGUCACUGCUUGUGUCAAGUUUACUGAUGUCCCCUUGGUCACAGUGCUAAC
RNAcentral lists this long non-coding RNA (450 nucleotides) under Homo sapiens (human). RNAcentral's name for it is "non-protein coding lnc-VANGL1-18:2". Lineage: Eukaryota; Metazoa; Chordata; Mammalia; Primates; Hominidae. The record is from RNAcentral.